Molecule: small RNA, 90 nt
Filed under: Vibrio sp. qd031
Lineage: Bacteria; Pseudomonadati; Pseudomonadota; Gammaproteobacteria; Vibrionales; Vibrionaceae
Description: t44 RNA
Rfam family: t44 RNA
About the family: This family consists of a number of bacterial RNA genes of between 135 and 170 bases in length.
Source: Rfam by way of RNAcentral
UUAAAUUUUUAUUAAACUCACACACAUUUCGUCACGUAAUCCGGGGUGCCUGAAAUAAGGUCGGUGUUACGGGGAAUGUGGAGGCCUAAC